Molecule: ribosomal RNA, 501 nt
Filed under: uncultured bacterium
Lineage: Bacteria
Description: partial 16S ribosomal RNA
Rfam family: Bacterial small subunit ribosomal RNA
Source: RNAcentral
AUUGAACGCUGGCGGCAUGCCUUACACAUGCAAGUCGAACGGCAGCACGGGAGCAAUCCUGGUGGCGAGUGGCGAACGGGUGAGUAAAGUAUCGGAACGUGCCCAGUCGUGGGGGAUAACGUAGCGAAAGUUACGCUAAUACCGCAUACGAUCUAUGGAUGAAAGCGGGGGAUCGCAAGACCUCGCGCGAUUGGAGCGGCCGAUAUCAGAUUAGGUAGUUGGUGGGGUAAAGGCUCACCAAGCCGACGAUCUGUAGCUGGUCUGAGAGGACGACCAGCCACACUGGGACUGAGACACGGCCCAGACUCCUACGGGAGGCAGCAGUGGGGAAUUUUGGACAAUGGGCGAAAGCCUUAUCCAGCCAUGCCGCGUGCAGGAUGAAGGCCUUCGGGUUGUAAACUGCUUUUGUACGGAACGAAAAGGUUUGGCCUAAUAAGCUGAGCUCAUGACGGUACCGUAAGAAUAAGCACCGGCUAACUACGUGCCAGCCGCCGCCUGUAA